UACGUAGGGUGCAAGCGUUAAUCGGAAUUACUGGGCGUAAAGCGUGCGCAGGCGGUUUUGUAAGCCAGAUGUGAAAUCCCCGGGCUUAACCUGGGAAUGGCAUUUGGGACUGCAAGGCUUGAGUGCGGCAGAGGAGACUGGAAUUCCUGGUGUAGCAGUGAAAUGCGCAGAUAUCGGGAGGAACACCGGUGGCGAAGGCGGUUCUCAGGGCCUGUACUGACGCUGAGGAGCGAAAGCGUGGGGAGCGAACAGG
RNAcentral lists this ribosomal RNA (253 nucleotides) under uncultured bacterium. RNAcentral's name for it is "partial 16S ribosomal RNA". It matches the Rfam family "Bacterial small subunit ribosomal RNA", at positions 524 to 776 of the family's 1533-position model. The record is from RNAcentral.